UUAAGCGACUAAGCGUACACGGUGGAUGCCCUGGCAGUCAGAGGCGAUGAAGGACGUGCUAAUCUGCGAUAAGCGUCGGUAAGGUGAUAUGAACCGUUAUAACCGGCGAUUUCCGAAUGGGGAAACCCAGUGUGUUUCGACACACUAUCAUUAACUGAAUCCAUAGGUUAAUGAGGCGAACCGGGGGAACUGAAACAUCUAAGUACCCCGAGGAAAAGAAAUCAACCGAGAUUCCCCCAGUAGCGGCGAGCGAACGGGGAGGAGCCCAGAGCCUGAAUCAGUGUGUGUGUUAGUGGAAGCGUCUGGAAAGGCGCGCGAUACAGGGUGACAGCCCCGUACACAAAAAUACACAUAUUGUGAGCUCGAUGAGUAGGGCGGGACACGUGGUAUCCUGUCUGAAUAUGGGGGGACCAUCCUCCAAGGCUAAAUACUCCUGACUGACCGAUAGUGAACCAGUACCGUGAGGGAAAGGCGAAAAGAACCCCGGCGAGGGGAGUGAAAAAGAACCUGAAACCGUGUACGUACAAGCAGUGGGAGCACGCUUAGGCGUGUGACUGCGUACCUUUUGUAUAAUGGGUCAGCGACUUAUAUUCUGUAGCAAGGUUAACCGAAUAGGGGAGCCGAAGGGAAACCGAGUCUUAACUGGGCGUUAAGUUGCAGGGUAUAGACCCGAAACCCGGUGAUCUAGCCAUGGGCAGGUUGAAGGUUGGGUAACACUAACUGGAGGACCGAACCGACUAAUGUUGAAAAAUUAGCGGAUGACUUGUGGCUGGGGGUGAAAGGCCAAUCAAACCGGGAGAUAGCUGGUUCUCCCCGAAAGCUAUUUAGGUAGCGCCUCGUGAAUUCAUCUCCGGGGGUAGAGCACUGUUUCGGCAAGGGGGUCAUCCCGACUUACCAACCCGAUGCAAACUGCGAAUACCGGAGAAUGUUAUCACGGGAGACACACGGCGGGUGCUAACGUCCGUCGUGAAGAGGGAAACAACCCAGACCGCCAGCUAAGGUCCCAAAGUCAUGGUUAAGUGGGAAACGAUGUGGGAAGGCCCAGACAGCCAGGAUGUUGGCUUAGAAGCAGCCAUCAUUUAAAGAAAGCGUAAUAGCUCACUGGUCGAGUCGGCCUGCGCGGAAGAUGUAACGGGGCUAAACCAUGCACCGAAGCUGCGGCAGCGACGCUUAUGCGUUGUUGGGUAGGGGAGCGUUCUGUAAGCCUGCGAAGGUGUGCUGUGAGGCAUGCUGGAGGUAUCAGAAGUGCGAAUGCUGACAUAAGUAACGAUAAAGCGGGUGAAAAGCCCGCUCGCCGGAAGACCAAGGGUUCCUGUCCAACGUUAAUCGGGGCAGGGUGAGUCGACCCCUAAGGCGAGGCCGAAAGGCGUAGUCGAUGGGAAACAGGUUAAUAUUCCUGUACUUGGUGUUACUGCGAAGGGGGGACGGAGAAGGCUAUGUUGGCCGGGCGACGGUUGUCCCGGUUUAAGCGUGUAGGCUGGUUUUCCAGGCAAAUCCGGAAAAUCAAGGCUGAGGCGUGAUGACGAGGCACUACGGUGCUGAAGCAACAAAUGCCCUGCUUCCAGGAAAAGCCUCUAAGCAUCAGGUAACAUCAAAUCGUACCCCAAACCGACACAGGUGGUCAGGUAGAGAAUACCAAGGCGCUUGAGAGAACUCGGGUGAAGGAACUAGGCAAAAUGGUGCCGUAACUUCGGGAGAAGGCACGCUGAUAUGUAGGUGAAGUCCCUUGCGGAUGGAGCUGAAAUCAGUCGAAGAUACCAGCUGGCUGCAACUGUUUAUUAAAAACACAGCACUGUGCAAACACGAAAGUGGACGUAUACGGUGUGACGCCUGCCCGGUGCCGGAAGGUUAAUUGAUGGGGUCAGCGCAAGCGAAGCUCUUGAUCGAAGCCCCGGUAAACGGCGGCCGUAACUAUAACGGUCCUAAGGUAGCGAAAUUCCUUGUCGGGUAAGUUCCGACCUGCACGAAUGGCGUAAUGAUGGCCAGGCUGUCUCCACCCGAGACUCAGUGAAAUUGAACUCGCUGUGAAGAUGCAGUGUACCCGCGGCAAGACGGAAAGACCCCGUGAACCUUUACUAUAGCUUGACACUGAACAUUGAGCCUUGAUGUGUAGGAUAGGUGGGAGGCUUUGAAGUGUGGACGCCAGUCUGCAUGGAGCCGGCCUUGAAAUACCACCCUUUAAUGUUUGAUGUUCUAACGUGGACCCGUGAUCCGGGUUGCGGACAGUGUCUGGUAGGUAGUUUGACUGGGGCGGUCUCCUCCUAAAGAGUAACGGAGGAGCACGAAGGUUGGCUAAUCCUGGUCGGACAUCAGGAGGUUAGUGCAAUGGCAUAAGCCAGCUUGACUGCGAGCGUGACGGCGCGAGCAGGUGCGAAAGCAGGUCAUAGUGAUCCGGUGGUUCUGAAUGGAAGGGCCAUCGCUCAACGGAUAAAAGGUACUCCGGGGAUAACAGGCUGAUACCGCCCAAGAGUUCAUAUCGACGGCGGUGUUUGGCACCUCGAUGUCGGCUCAUCACAUCCUGGGGCUGAAGUAGGUCCCAAGGGUAUGGCUGUUCGCCAUUUAAAGUGGUACGCGAGCUGGGUUUAGAACGUCGUGAGACAGUUCGGUCCCUAUCUGCCGUGGGCGCUGGAGAACUGAGGGGGGCUGCUCCUAGUACGAGAGGACCGGAGUGGACGCAUCACUGGUGUUCGGGUUGUCAUGCCAAUGGCACUGCCCGGUAGCUAAAUGCGGAAGAGAUAAGUGCUGAAAGCAUCUAAGCACGAAACUUGCCCCGAGAUGAGUUCUCCCUGACCCUUUAAGGGUCCUGAAGGAACGUUGAAGACGACGACGUUGAUAGGCCGGGUGUGUAAGCGCAGCGAUGCGUUGAGCUAACCGGUACUAAUGAACCGUGAGGCUUAACCUU
This 2902-nucleotide ribosomal RNA is filed under the name Shigella sonnei. Its description in RNAcentral is "bacterial LSU rRNA". It matches the Rfam family "Bacterial large subunit ribosomal RNA". RNAcentral also lists the same sequence under 1 other name. Lineage: Bacteria; Pseudomonadati; Pseudomonadota; Gammaproteobacteria; Enterobacterales; Enterobacteriaceae. The record is from RNAcentral.